This 497-nucleotide ribosomal RNA is filed under the name uncultured bacterium. RNAcentral describes it as "partial 16S ribosomal RNA". It matches the Rfam family "Bacterial small subunit ribosomal RNA", at positions 28 to 507 of the family's 1533-position model. The record is from RNAcentral.
GACGAACGCUGGCGGCGUGCCUAAUACAUGCAAGUAGAACGCUGAGGAGAGGAGCUUGCUCUUCUUGGAUGAGUUGCGAACGGGUGAGUAACGCGUAGGUAACCUGACUUGUAGCGGGGGAUAACUAUUGGAAACGAUAGCUAAUACCGCAUAACAAUGGAUGACACAUGUCAUUUAUUUGAAAGGGGCAAUUGCUCCACUACAAGAUGGACCUGCGUUGUAUUAGCUAGUAGGUGAGGUAAUGGCUCACCUAGGCGACGAUACAUAGCCGACCUGAGAGGGUGAUCGGCCACACUGGGACUGGGACACGGCCCAGACUCCUGCGGGAGGCAGCAGUAGGGAAUCUUCGGCGAUGGGGGCAACCCUGACCGAGCAACGCCGCGUGAGUGAAGAAGGUUUUCGGAUCGUAAAGCUCUGUUGUAAGUCAAGAACGGGUGUGAGAGUUGAAAGUUCACACUGUGACGGUAGCUUACCAGAAAGGGACGGCUAACUACGUG